Molecule: ribosomal RNA, 333 nt
Filed under: uncultured Methylobacterium sp.
Lineage: Bacteria; Pseudomonadati; Pseudomonadota; Alphaproteobacteria; Hyphomicrobiales; Methylobacteriaceae
Description: bacterial SSU rRNA
Rfam family: Bacterial small subunit ribosomal RNA
Source: RNAcentral
UUCGCCCUUAGAGUUUGAUCCUGGCUCAGAGCGAACGCUGGCGGCAGGCUUAACACAUGCAAGUCGAGCGGGCCCUUCGGGGUCAGCGGCAGACGUGUGAGUAACGCGUGGGAACGUGCCCUUCGGUUCGGAAUAACUCAGGGAAACUUGAGCUAAUACCGGAUACGCCCUUUUGGGGAAAGGCUUGACUGCCGAAGGAUCGGCCCGCGUCUGAUUAGCUGGUUGGUGAGGUUACGGCUCACCAAGGCGACGAUCAGUAGCUGGUCUGAGAGGAUGAUCAGCCACACUGGGACUGAGACACGGCCCAGACUCCUACGGGAGGCAGCAGAAGGG